GGCCAGCUCCUGUCUAGUUCAAACUAGUUGAGACCACUGACCCUUCAACUGGGUCUGCAUGGGUGCCUGAGAGGUGGCCUUUUGAUAUCAGAGGGUCAAAAACUCCACCCUCAAGAUCAUGCUAAUGUUGCCAUUUUCUGUACAUAUGUCCUGUGAACUGUUCGUCCACCUCAUCUCUUGGUGACCUAGUGUGUAAAUCUUUUCUCUUUUGCAGAAUCUAUGUCACAGUGAUUGAUUUACUGCAUAUGAGCAGAAUGAACCUGGACCUGGCCAGUAUCAUUAAGCUGUGUUUCCCCUGAAGUUAUGUGAAAAGCAUUUGUGGAUUUAACAGAGUUAAGGGUCUCACUUCAUCACCUAGACUGGAGUACAGUAGCACAGUUGCAGCUUCCUACAUCUUGACUUCCUGGGUUCCAGUGAUCCUCCCCCUUCAGCCUCUCAGAGAGAGAAAGAAAGCAGAGCUCUUUGAAGCAGAGAAAGAAAGCAGAAAGCAGAGAUCUUUGAAGGCUUAAGAAACCAUAAGGAGUUUUGGAGAGUCAAUGCAUGAUGAUCUCUGAAGAUUCUACUGAAAUCUAAUCAAUAUGUCCUCACUGCCAUCAAUUCAAAAGAACUUGCUAAGAAGGCUCUAGAGGCUUGUACUCUCAGAUAGUGAAAGUGAGAUGAUGUGUAGUGAAAGUCAUAUAUAGGUUGUAAAUUGCAAUAUGGAAUUCCCAAAUGCUGAAUUCAUUUUAUCUCUUCGGAAAUAAAAACCUGUUAAAGACUCA
Molecule: long non-coding RNA, 761 nt
Filed under: Homo sapiens (human)
Lineage: Eukaryota; Metazoa; Chordata; Mammalia; Primates; Hominidae
Description: HSALNT0325770
Source: RNAcentral